AUCUACAAAAACAAAUUAAAAUAAUAAAUAGAGUAGAUUUUAAAACAGUAAACAAAAAUUUAAAACAAUACAAAGUAGAGAUUGUAAAACAGUAAUGAACAACAAUUAGAUUGUAAAACAGUAAUGAAUUCCUAGGGUUUUUUCCGCCGUUGUCCUCCACUUCUUGGGAUUUUUCUCACCGCCGUUCAUCUUCCGUUUUUUUCACUCUCAUGCACGAGUCAUCUUCACGCUAUUUUUUUUCUUGCAGACGUAAACAGAGAGCAAAGUGGUGCUCGCUCGUUCGUCCUGAGCGAACGAGCGAGCAAACAAGAAAUGUUUUCGACAGCGAACGCGCAAAGUGAAGGACUCUGACCGAGAGAGAGGAAAAAUCUGUCCGCGAGCGAACAAGUUUGGUGGGUCCUCCGCGUGCGACGUUUUGGGUUCUUCGCGUGUUAGCGUUUUGAGUUCUCCGCGUGCGGUUCGUCUGACAGAGGAGCGAGCACCGUCUUGUUCUGAGCGAAGAAAGCUUCAUGGGUUCUCUAGGACAAGCAGCGAGCGGGGUCUCCGCGAGUGAGCACCUUGGGUUCUCCACGAGCGAGCGAGUCUGGUGGGUUCUCCGCGAGCGUCUGACAGAAGAGCGAGCACCGGCGUGUCCGCGAGCGAAUGCCGGAGUGUCCGCGAGCGAGCGCCUGAGCGGCCGUGGUUCCACGUCUUUGACUGCGAGCGACAGAUCGACCUCUUUCCGCGAACAUCAGAUUCCUCAUACAGCUAGCAGAAGAUGGGAGCUAGAAAGCCUCGCUAUUGGUUACUGACCUGCAAGCCGAAGAUUAACAUGCCAUAUUCAUUCCAUACUCUUAGUUGCUUACUUAAUCGUUUUUUUUAUUGUAACUUGUAAUCUCUUUAUCUUAUAUUUUAUCUAAAUCGCCUAAAAAAAAGAUGUAAAACUGUAAAGAGAUUAAAGAAAAUAGAAGAAGAAAAAUAAAUUAGGAAAAGAAGAAAAUAGAAGAUUAUAGAAGGAGGAGGAAGAUGAAGGGAAAAAAAAACCAUUACCUAAGCUUGGAGAGGAGGGCUGGAACCGACGGUACGUGGCGAGUCGGCGGGUGGCGAUUGGAGCAAAAAAUCGACAGAAAUUCGCCACUAAAGGUGCGGUUAUUUCCGCCACGAAAACUAAAACUCUGCCCAAUUGAAAUUUGAGAGGGCUAAUUUCGCCCGAUUCCCUCCUAAACUUUUGGUGGUGGAAAUCCACCAGGUAAUCGGAUCGAUUUUGGGGGAGGAUUUGAAAUUUUGGACGAGAUUUCUUUCGUGGUAAAUUUCUACCAUUGAAAAUUCUAAAAAUCCUUUCUCUUGUCAUACCUUUUCGUAGUGGUUUAUAAGUAGUAGAGGCAGAUUUCCGCUACAAAAAGUACAAAACUAUUCGUGAGGAAAUUCCAUCACGAAAAGUCGUUAUACAAGAUGAUGAGGGUCGCACUCAACAGUGACGGAUUGGUCGAUCGACUGGUUGAAUGGUGCCAACCAGUCGAUCGCCCGACUUCACAUUGCAGGAACAUUACCAGUCGGUUGGACCGGAAGCUAUGAAUGUUUAGUCGCACGCUCCACUCCUUUGUUCUAAAAGAAGUCGGUCUCUUGGUAUCCGUGUGUGAAAUGAAAGAUUUCCCCACUAUUUAUAAACUUUCCGGAGAGUAGAUUGGUCGUUUCACCUUGUCGGGAUUGGAGGGGAAAAUGAACUUUUCCUGAGAUGGUCGUUUGGUUGACUAGUGGUCGGACCCAACUCCGGUCGGUCAGUUAGGGUCGACCUACUAAUUGUCGAUUGACCAGGAGGGCGAUCGACCAGUACAGUCCAAGACCGACUAGGAUUCCGGUCGGUCGACUAGGAAUCCAGUCGCCUCCUCAGAUGUGGUCGGAUUCUCAAUCAACUCCGUCGUGAGUCAAUACAGGGGAUAGGAUUUCCCCAAUCUAGGCUUGGUUGAGAGCCCAUGCCUGCUUGCGAU
Molecule: long non-coding RNA, 1967 nt
Filed under: Zostera marina
Lineage: Eukaryota; Viridiplantae; Streptophyta; Magnoliopsida; Alismatales; Zosteraceae
Description: long non-coding RNA (ZMAR_LNC006135)
Source: RNAcentral